GAAACCUAGUGAUUCUAAACUUAGUGGCGGACGGGUGAGUAACGCGUGGGUAACCUGCCAUAUACAGGGGGAUAACACUUAGAAAUAGGUGCUAAUACCGCAUAAGCGCACAGGACCGCAUGGUCUAGUGUGAAAAACUCCGGUGGUAUAUGAUGGACCCGCGUCUGAUUAGCUAGUUGGUGAGGUAACGGCCCACCAAGGCGACGAUCAGUAGCCGGCCUGAGAGGGUGAACGGCCACAUUGGGACUGAGACACGGCCCAAACUCCUACGGGAGGCAGCAGUGGGGAAUAUUGCACAAUGGGGGAAACCCUGAUGCAGCGACGCCGCGUGAGUGAAGAAGUAUUUCGGUAUGUAAAGCUCUAUCAGCAGGAAAGAAAAUGACGGUACCUGACUAAGAAGCCCCGGCUAACUACGUGCCAGCAGCCGCGGUAAUACGUAGGGGGCAAGCGUUAUCCGGAUUUACUGGGUGUAAAGGGAGCGUAGACGGCCAAGCAAGUCUGAAGUGAAAACCCAAGGCUCAACCAUGGGACUGCUUUGGAAACUGUUAGGCUAGAGUGCAGGAGAGGUAAGUGGAAUUCCUAGUGUAGCGGUGAAAUGCGUAGAUAUUAGGAGGAACACCAGUGGCGAAGGCGGCUUACUGGACUGUAACUGACGUUGAGGCUCGAAAGCGUGGGGAGCAAACAGG
RNAcentral lists this ribosomal RNA (686 nucleotides) under uncultured rumen bacterium. Its description in RNAcentral is "bacterial SSU rRNA". It matches the Rfam family "Bacterial small subunit ribosomal RNA", at positions 73 to 776 of the family's 1533-position model. The record is from RNAcentral.